UUAAAAAUAUUUUAUUGCCCUAAAUCCCCAAAUAUAUUGGGCCCGAUAGCAGAAAUCCCCUUAUUAUUAAAAGUGAAGUACAAAUUGAAAUUUUGUCUAAUUUGACCUCAAUUUUGAUUUCAAUUUUAUAUUUUGUUCUUUGCUAUUCAAAAUCAUUAAGGGUAAUUUGGUCUUAACAAUCUCUUAGACUUUAUAUGAUCCGAUUCAAUGUAAACCAUUCAAUAAAAUUAAUUUCCUUCAAUCUAAGUUAUUAUUUGAUUUAAUUCAAAAAAAAAUCCCAAUUAUUUUUUAGUUAUGUUUAAUUCAAAAAAUUGUAUUUAUAAGUUUAGGAUAUCAAAUUUAUUCAAAUAUUUAGUAUAAGAACCAAAUAAACCGAUUGCCCGCGGUAAACCGCGGCUUAAGUCCUAGUGUAUUUUAUAACAAAGGUACCAAACUAGUAAUUUUAUCUCAUAU
Molecule: small RNA, 453 nt
Filed under: Arabidopsis thaliana (thale cress)
Lineage: Eukaryota; Viridiplantae; Streptophyta; Magnoliopsida; Brassicales; Brassicaceae
Description: ATSL290220
Source: RNAcentral